This is a non-coding RNA of Picea glauca (white spruce), 121 nucleotides long. NCBI's taxonomy places the organism in Eukaryota, Viridiplantae, Streptophyta, Pinopsida, Pinales, Pinaceae. The record is from Rfam.
ACAUGCUUACAACAUAGUGUUAAUGCACCAAAUCCCAUUAGAACUCUGUAGUUAAGCACGCUCGGGCUAGAGUAGCACUGGGAUAGGUGACCACCUGGGAAGUCCUAGUGUUUUACAUGCC